This 422-nucleotide ribosomal RNA is filed under the name uncultured prokaryote. Its description in RNAcentral is "bacterial SSU rRNA". It matches the Rfam family "Bacterial small subunit ribosomal RNA", at positions 355 to 774 of the family's 1533-position model. The record is from RNAcentral.
UGGGGAAUUUUGGACAAUGGGGGAAACCCUGAUCCAGCAACGCCGCGUGAAGGAUGAAGGCCUUCGGGUCGUAAACUUCUUUUCCAGGGGACGAAUGGACGGGUGAAUAGCCCGUCGUGACUGUACCCUGGGAAUAAGCCACGGCUAACUACGUGCCAGCAGCCGCGGUAAUACGUAGGUGGCAAGCGUUACUCGGAAUUACUAGGCGUAAAGCGCAGGUAGGUGGUUCGGUAAGUUCGUUGUGGAAGCUCCCGGCUCAACUGGGAGAGGUCAACGAAUACUGCCAGGCUUGAGGGUGGCAGGGGAAACUGGAAUUCCCGGUGUAGCGGUGAAAUGCGCAGAGAUCGGGAGGAACACCGACGGCGAAAGCAGGUUUCUGGGCCAUUCCUGACACUGAGCUGCGAAAGCUAGGGGAGCAAACA